This 708-nucleotide ribosomal RNA is filed under the name uncultured Alphaproteobacteria bacterium. Its description in RNAcentral is "bacterial SSU rRNA". It matches the Rfam family "Bacterial small subunit ribosomal RNA", at positions 1 to 728 of the family's 1533-position model. Lineage: Bacteria; Pseudomonadati; Pseudomonadota; Alphaproteobacteria. The record is from RNAcentral.
GAGCUCAUGUCCGGCGCCCCGGUUAGCGAUCAUUAGAGUUGGAUCCUGGCUCAGAACGAACGCUGGCGGCAGGCUUAACACAUGCAAGUCGAGCGCCCCGCAAGGGGAGCGGCAGACGGGUGAGUAACGCGUGGGAAUCUACCCAAUCCUUCGGAAUAGCUCCGGGAAACUGGAAUUAAUACCGAGUACGCCCUACGGGGGAAAGAUUUAUCGGGGUUGGAUGAGCCCGCGUUGGAUUAGCUAGUUGGUGGGGUAAUGGCCUACCAAGGCGACGAUCCAUAGCUGGUCUGAGAGGAUGAUCAGCCACACUGGGACUGAGACACGGCCCAGACUCCUACGGGAGGCAGCAGUGGGGAAUAUUGGACAAUGGGCGCAAGCCUGAUCCAGCCAUGCCGCGUGAGUGAUGAAGGCCCUAGGGUUGUAAAGCUCUUUCAGUGGGGAAGAUAAUGACGGUACCCACAGAAGAAGCCCCGGCUAACUUCGUGCCAGCAGCCGCGGUAAUACGAAGGGGGCUAGCGUUGUUCGGAUUUACUGGGCGUAAAGCGCACGUAGGCGGAUAGUUCAAGUGAGCGGGUGAAAUCCCAGGGCUCAACCCUGGAACUGCCUUUCAUACUGGCUAUCUAGAGUCCGGAAGAGGUANGUGGAACUCCUAGUGUAGAGGUGGAAUUCGUAGAUUUAGGAAGAACACCAGUGGCCGAAGGCGGCUUA